Molecule: long non-coding RNA, 2299 nt
Organism: Tripterygium wilfordii
Lineage: Eukaryota; Viridiplantae; Streptophyta; Magnoliopsida; Celastrales; Celastraceae
Exons: 4
Source: RefSeq, a predicted model, not a curated record
UACCUAUCCCAAAGUUAGCUUGACUUAGAAGCAGGAACUUGACAACCUAACUAUUGCGAUCAGGAAUUCAGGAUUGGUCGGUAUCGUACCUGAUGUGUUCUUCUUUCCUGCAAUAAAUCCAAUCUUCUGCUCCCUGAAGUAUGGAACGAACUUAUUCAAUAUAUAUGAAUCCCAACUCCAGAUACUAGCUAUAUGGAGUUUCUCACUGCUACUCUUGCCUGUAUCCCUUUUCUUUUGGUAGUUCUCUACAGACCAAAUGUCUGCUCAAGCAACCCUUAUAUAGACUGGGGAUGUGGUGGUGGUGGAGGAGAGAUAGUGAGGCAUAGAAUCUUGAAGAAAAGUCCCUGACUCAAUCCAAUAUUCACAGCGACCUAAAAAGGGAUGUUAUCCUUCCUAUUUUCAUAACAUGACCUCUAACUUUCCUUUCCAUUCUAAAACACCCAAUUACUAUUGCUCUGCAUCAGAACUCUCAGAAACAACUUAUGCCUUGCAUUAGAUACCAGAAUUGAUCCAACAAAUUUCCUUUUUCCUUCCCUGUUCACUCCUAUUCGCUUGUCUGGCAAAAGCAAGAAUCUUAUUCCCAGGACAUGAGAUUUUAUCAGAUCUUGGUCUUGUAGUCAGUUUUUCUCUAUUUUCAAUGUGAAUAGUGAAUUAUAAGAAGAUGGAGUCCAGUCGAGCUACCUAAUAUCUAUGUUAACGAGGGCAGAUGAAGACACAAAACAAGGUUAGAACUGGUCAUCGUUGUGGGAAUUUAGAAGAAUGUUCUGUUGACCGGAGCAUCUAGUAACUUUGGCAUUAGAUACAUACAAGGAGAGAUGCUUGUUCUUGGACAAUGUUCUGAGGCAAGGAAUAGAAUAAGGCAUACAUUCUGUUUCGUCUCCUUCAGUAAGUUUGACACUGAUUUAGCCCCCACACAGUAUAAAAAUAUAUAGAAGAGGGUCCCAGGUUCUUUUUAUUUGUUCAUCCUUCAAUUGGCAUAAGACAACCGGCCCCGCCGACGAAUUCUAAGCAUCGUUGGACGUGAUAACAAAGAAACAAAAAGGGGGAUUGUACUUUCUUUCAUAUUUGCAUCUGAUGCAACAAGAGGGACAAGUCAUUGCCAGCAUAUGACCCUCCACCUUGACUCAUGCAGAUUCUCGAUCUCUUGAAUACUUGGCUUUCACUUGUGGUAUCAAGCAGCUAUUACUUUCCUCUCCGUGUGGACUAUAUAUUCUCGACUUUGGGAAAGGAAAAGGUGAUGCAAACAUCAACAUAUAAGAACUAAUUCAAGCUUAAGGAUCAGCCCAUCAUAAGCGACGACACAUGUGAGAUGUUGAUUGGUUGCAUUUUGUUGACUAAAUGGGAUUAGCAUGCAUUGGCUCUGCAAUGGAAAGUGAGAAAUGACCACGGAAUGUAUUCCUUGAGAGGGAAAAAAAGUUAAAGAGGAGGAAGAGAAAGGGAUGAUUAAACAAACUGGUCUUCUGGUCCCAUGCAUGCUUUGCAGGUUUGAUUAAUCAAGGUUACUCCUUCUUCCAUCUAAUUAACAUGCAUUUUCGCAGGAUCUUGUGCAUGACCCCCCAAGAAACAACUGCUCUCCUCCUCCCAUGUUUGUAGAAAAGAAAGUUUUCCUCUUUGAAUAAAUGAUAUAAACAAUGCAUGAUAAUUGAUAGGGCAUGAACCAUCCUAUCCAAUCAGAGGAAUCAUGAACCAACCAAACAUAUGCAUAUAUAUAUGUUUAUUCAUAAAUUCAUUUGAAUAUACCUAACAAUGCCACAUGCAUGUAGAUUCACUUUUUUGUUGAACCUAGGACAUAUCAGAGCUUCUUUUACUGUAAAUCCACCCUUCCAAAGCCAACCAUUUUAAGUUCAUAUAUAGUUCCAUGAUUAGUACUAAGUAGUAUUAUUGUCGAAUGUGCUUUGUUCAAGAGUCAAGCAAGCCCAUUUCAUAUAUUCUCUCAACAACCCUAGCUAGUUCUGGUCCUUUUUUUUUCCUUGGUCCAACCGUGCGUCUUUUUCCAAUCUUCACUUUGCAUCCAGUCCUUUCAGUUAAAUAAUUGAUGUGCUCAUAUUUUAUCUUAAGUUGCUUGAGCAGAAUCAAAAAGCAGUGGUGGGUUUAACCAGCAUAUAUAUGCUGCCCUGAUUUGUCAGGUAGGUAUCUGAUGGUAUUGGGUGAACAGGGACAUCACCAAGUGGCUGACCUCUUCAUUAUUAUGUUUCGAAUAUUCAGAUAACAAAAUAGAAGUCCAUGAUGGAUGUACCCGAUUGCAUAUAUAUAAUCAUUGAAGGCAAUUCCCCAAAUGAAAUAAAUGCAUUGCUUUUUC